Dermacentor silvarum is the source of this 907-nucleotide long non-coding RNA. RefSeq lists it as uncharacterized. The transcript is spliced from 3 exons. NCBI's taxonomy places the organism in Eukaryota, Metazoa, Arthropoda, Arachnida, Ixodida, Ixodidae. The record is from RefSeq and is a predicted model, not a curated record.
AUAAGGAUAAUCGAAGCUGAUCUCGAAGGCCAUGCUUAUGCUGGCUGCAGAUGGCGGAAGCAAUUCAAAGGUAAAAUACGUUUUAGAAUUUCUUUCUACGCCAAACUAUAGUGUAAAAUAUAGAUUGUUCUACAGUUAUUUUGUCUCGCAACAUCUAUACGUAGUUGUGUGUAACCCGGCACAAAAUUUUAGUAUGCGAGUGUACUGGUUAAUAUUUUUGUCAUCACAGAGGCCACAACAUUCUCACAAGUAUGCAGGUGGCGCUAUUGUUUUUCCUCCGUGUUCUGUGAUGGCGGUCGUAUGUGCGGGGUGCUACGAGCGUAGCGUUUGCUUGAUCGUGUGUUUUUGUGUUUGCUGUUAUGAAGUAGGUCGCAGUUAGCGUGCACAGAAGUGCCUGAAGAUACCUUGUGUCACGCUGCAAACUCGCCGUAUGCGUGGCGCGCCAGGCAAAUGUGGCCCAACGAUUUUAUGCCGUGGAGUGCGGUCUCUUUGUUCUCGUUCUGGAAAGUUGGGUGGACGUCGCAAAGAAUGUAUGUUAGCGCGCCUCAGCUCGUCCACUACGCAGCGGCAUGUAUGCGAGGAGUAACAUCGUCGACGCAGCACCGGCAACUUGGAGAGUGCUUCGCGACCGCGUCGUACCAUUCAAAAGUGGCGAGGCUGUGACCCAUAACAGUGCCUACAUAACGGAGGAGCCACCAGACCCCUUGGCUAUGCCUGCCGUAGUGCAACGUAUAAUCUGGAUGGUCGGGUCAGGUACACCUAGGAAAUGUUGUAUACAUUGGCAACGAUAACUGGGGCCUGUUCCAGUGCCAUCGCCGGGAUUCCCUGUUCUGCAAAGAACUGACAUAACUGAUGUGGGGAGCCCUGGCGCUCGGUGUAGGAGUAUCACAGGGGCUCCUUGUCGAUG